CCUCGGCGCAAUAGCAGCCUGAGGGCACCGCAGCCCGGAAGCUAAGCAAGGUCAGGCCUGACUGUUGCUUGGAUGGGGGACUGCCUGGGGAAACUGGUGGCUAGAGGC
Molecule: ribosomal RNA, 108 nt
Organism: Gorilla gorilla gorilla (western lowland gorilla)
Lineage: Eukaryota; Metazoa; Chordata; Mammalia; Primates; Hominidae
Source: Ensembl